This is a long non-coding RNA of Oncorhynchus tshawytscha (Chinook salmon), 880 nucleotides long. NCBI's taxonomy places the organism in Eukaryota, Metazoa, Chordata, Actinopteri, Salmoniformes, Salmonidae. The record is from Ensembl.
GUUAAUUUAAAAGCCAGAAUUUUAAACCUACCUCUUGUUUUACCUCGUCAGGCCUCAAGAUGGCGCUGGAGAGUUGUAGACUUAUCUUGGGUUUGUUUUUGCUUCCCUUGGGGCGACCCCACCACUUAGGGGCCGAUGAUACCUGGCUACAAACACUUUCACUGUCAGCAGAGUUGUUUCCUUUUCCUGUGGAUUGGUUCCUUCCUCUGGUGGUGGAGUUUUUCUUCUUCGUUGGUUUUCUGCCUGGUUUGUUAUUGUUCUUCUGAGCAGCAAGAGACAGUUGAUCCUUCGUUAGUCUGUGGAGUCUCACGAUAGCAGCCAUUUUGAGAUGAUUCAGGUUAACGCUAUGCAGAGAAUCUCCUCCCUCUAUUUUGAGUUGAUGUAAGGCGCGUUCCUCUGCUCAGAAGUUGCUGACGCCUGACCUCACAACGCCUGGAUAUGUAUUUUAAGUUUCGACUAACCACAUCAUGUUAUAGCAAUGGUUGAUGAAUGUAACAUCUGAGUAGGGGAACAUUACCCCUAGUCUCAAUCUGGGCAGAGAAACGUGUUCUGUUAAACUAAUGUCUCAGGAUCUUGUAGCUCUAGGAUGGAACCCUGUGGGGGAUGUCUUGUCCUCUCCUUUAAAGACAGAGCUGGUCAUCAUUCUAGGGACCUGUAGCUCUAGGAUGGAACCAUGUGGGGGAUAUCUUGUCCUCUCCUUUAAAGACAGAGCUGGUCAUCAUUCUAGGGUCUUGUAGCUCUAGGAUGGAACCCUGUGGGGGAUGUCUUGUCCUCUCCUUUAAAGACAGAGCUGGUCAUCAUUCUAGGGUCUUGUAGCUCUAGGAUGGAACCCUGUGGGGGAUGUCUUGUCCUCUCCUUUAAAGACAGAGUUGGUCAUCAU